This 562-nucleotide ribosomal RNA is filed under the name uncultured bacterium. RNAcentral describes it as "partial 16S ribosomal RNA". It matches the Rfam family "Bacterial small subunit ribosomal RNA", at positions 355 to 933 of the family's 1533-position model. The record is from RNAcentral.
UGGGGAAUAUUGGACAAUGGGGGCAACCCUGAUCCAGCCAUGCCGCGUGAGUGAUGAAGGCCUUCGGGUUGUAAAGCUCUUUUGGCGGGGACGAUGAUGACGGUACCCGCAGAAUAAGCCCCGGCUAACUUCGUGCCAGCAGCCGCGGUAAGACGAAGGGGGCUAGCGUUGUUCGGAAUUACUGGGCGUAAAGCGAGUGUAGGCGGUUGCCGUAGUCAGGUGUGAAAGCCUUGAGCUCAACUCAAGAAAUGCACUUGAUACUGGGUGACUAGAGGACCGGAGAGGAUAGUGGAAUUCCCAGUGUAGUGGUGAAAUACGUAGAGAUUGGGAAGAACACCAGUGGCGAAGGCGGCUAUCUGGACGGUUACUGACGCUAAGACUCGAAAGCGUGGGGAGCAAACAGGAUUAGAUACCCUGGUAGUCCACGCCGUAAACGAUGGGUGCUAGACGUUGGCGAGCUUGCUCGUCAGUGUCGCAGCUAACGCGUUAAGCACCCCGCCUGGGGAGUACGGCCGCAAGGGUUGAAAAUCAAAAUGAAUUGACGGGGGUCAUAGCUGUUUCC